This 672-nucleotide ribosomal RNA is filed under the name Triticum aestivum (bread wheat). RNAcentral's name for it is "partial small subunit ribosomal RNA". Lineage: Eukaryota; Viridiplantae; Streptophyta; Magnoliopsida; Poales; Poaceae. The record is from RNAcentral.
AUGUACGUGGAUGCGUGGAAAGCCAACAUCCCAGAAUUCAAGAAUCCCUUUGCUCCAUUGAGGACACCAUCACAGCGGAUCCGUUCGCCGCCGCUGAUCUCAUCGCUACGUCGACGACAACCAUUUGACGCCGCCGAACCCCUUACCAUCGAGUGUCUCCUCCAUUAUGAGUGCAAGCAACAGGAGGUGUCCUCUUGGCACAACGACGUGGUCAACUGGUCACUCCUUCAUCGACAGGUUCUUGCGCUCGGUGGAUUACUUCCACGGUUCCACAGUGGGAGGACACACUCAAGCUACUGUUCAGGCAACGUCUCCACCCACUCGCAAGUUCAACUACAUUGGCUGAGUGCAAGCAGGAUCUGUAGUAAUACUGAGUACUUACAAAUGCACAAAGCUCUGUCUACGUCUGCACAAGCAAAAGAAGGUCGUUGCGGUGGUCGGCUACCAGGAGUAUCUUGUUUGGCCUUGUACCAUGUCGGAUUGUCACUAUUUUUAAAAUCUACUUAUGACUAUUUUGUAAAGGACAAAUUGACAGAUUUGGCAAAAAAUGGGCGUAUUUGGAGCCGGAUGGAAAGAUUGGCAGAUUUGGAGCAGGGUGACGAUGGAGCAGCCUUUUGUCACAAUAACAAAAGAGCUGAAGUGGAAGGGCUCAUGGAAGAAGAGAUGGAAUGA